Molecule: non-coding RNA, 96 nt
Filed under: Streptomyces sp. NRRL F-4489
Lineage: Bacteria; Bacillati; Actinomycetota; Actinomycetes; Kitasatosporales; Streptomycetaceae
Description: sodF sRNA
Rfam family: sodF sRNA
About the family: Identified in Streptomyces coelicolor. It is produced from sodF mRNA by cleavage of about 90 nucleotides from its 3'UTR.
Source: Rfam by way of RNAcentral
ACGGCCUGCCUCGUGAUCGUCUUCUCACCCUUCACGCGGGCAGGCGCGUAAAGGGCGGAGCCCCCUGCGAGGACGUGACUCGCCAGGGGGCUCCGC